Molecule: long non-coding RNA, 244 nt
Filed under: Fukomys damarensis (Damara mole-rat)
Lineage: Eukaryota; Metazoa; Chordata; Mammalia; Rodentia; Bathyergidae
Description: lncRNA (ENSFDAG00000032428.1)
Source: RNAcentral
CGGUAGUGGGCGCGCCGGAGAGCUUGGUCGGCAGGAAUUUCUUCCACUGUGCGCCUUUGGGGACGACACACAAGUCCCAACGCCCACCACCGGAGACCAAGAAAAUCAGAUUUCACUGGGCAGCGCGAUCCUAAAGAAUUCUGGAGCCAGGAAUGGUGGCGCACACCUAUGGUCUCGGCUACUCUGAAAGCUGAGGCAGGAGGAUCCCAAGUUCAAGGCCAGCCUGGGCAACUUAGUAAGACCU